This 404-nucleotide ribosomal RNA is filed under the name uncultured bacterium. Its description in RNAcentral is "bacterial SSU rRNA". It matches the Rfam family "Bacterial small subunit ribosomal RNA", at positions 355 to 776 of the family's 1533-position model. The record is from RNAcentral.
UGGGGAAUAUUGCACAAUGGAGGGAACUCUGAUGCAGCGAUGCCGCGUGAGGGAAGAAGGUUUUCGGAUUGUAAACCUCUGUCUUCAGGGACGAAAAUGACGGUACCUGAGGAGGAAGCUCCGGCUAACUACGUGCCAGCAGCCGCGGUAAUACGUAGGGAGCGAGCGUUGUCCGGAAUUACUGGGUGUAAAGGGAGCGUAGGCGGGGCUUUAAGUCAGGUGUGAAAUCUAUGGGCUCAACCCAUAGACUGCACUUGAAACUGAGGCUCUUGAGUGAAGUAGAGGCAGGCGGAAUUCCUAGUGUAGCGGUGAAAUGCGUAGAUAUUAGGAGGAACAUCAGUGGCGAAGGCGGCCUGCUGGGCUUUUACUGACGCUGAGGCUCGAAAGCGUGGGGAGCAAACAGG